UAGGGAAUCUUCCGCAAUGGACGCAAGUCUGACGGAGCAACGCCGCGUGAGUGAAGAAGGAUUUCGGUUCGUAAAACUCUGUUGUUAGCGAAGAACAGCGCAUAGAGUAACUGUUAUGCGUGUGACGGUAUCUAACCAGAAAGCCACGGCUAACUACGUGCCAGCAGCCGCGGUAAUACGUAGUUGGCAAGCGUUGUUCGGAUUUAUUGGGCGUAAAGCGAGCGCAGGCGGUCAAGUAAGUCUGAGGUGAAAGCCCCCGGCUCAACCGGGGAGGGGCAUUGGAAACUGGUUGACUUGAGUGGAGAAGAGGAGAGUGGAAUUCCAUGUGUAGCGGUGAAAUGCGUAGAUAUAUGGAGGAACACCAGUGGCGAAGGCGACUCUCUGGUCUGUAACUGACGCUGAGGCUCGAAAGCGUGGGUAGCGAACAGG
RNAcentral lists this ribosomal RNA (429 nucleotides) under Bacteroidota bacterium. RNAcentral describes it as "Bacteroidetes bacterium partial 16S ribosomal RNA". It matches the Rfam family "Bacterial small subunit ribosomal RNA", at positions 355 to 776 of the family's 1533-position model. Lineage: Bacteria; Pseudomonadati; Bacteroidota. The record is from RNAcentral.